RNAcentral lists this ribosomal RNA (468 nucleotides) under uncultured bacterium. Its description in RNAcentral is "partial 16S ribosomal RNA". It matches the Rfam family "Bacterial small subunit ribosomal RNA", at positions 28 to 507 of the family's 1533-position model. The record is from RNAcentral.
GACGAACGCUGGCGGCGUGCUUAACACAUGCAAGUCGAACGGAAAGGCCCUGCUUUUGUGGGGUGCUCGAGUGGCGAACGGGUGAGUAACACGUGAGUAACCUGCCCUUGACUUUGGGAUAACUUCAGGAAACUGGGGCUAAUACCGGAUAGGAGCUCCUGCUGCAUGGUGGGGGUUGGAAAGUUUCGGCGGUUGGGGAUGGACUCGCGGCUUAUCAGCUUGUUGGUGGGGUAGUGGCUUACCAAGGCUUUGACGGGUAGCCGGCCUGAGAGGGUGACCGGCCACAUUGGGACUGAGAGACGGCGCAGACUCCUACGGGAGGCAGCAGUGGGGAAUAUUGCACAAUAGGCGGAAGCCUGAUGCAGCAACGCCGCGUGCGGGAUGACGGCCUUCGGGUUGUAAACCGCUUUCGCCGGUGACGAAGCGUGAGUGACGGUAAUGGGUAAAGAAGCACCGGCUAACUACGUG